CGUGUCUCAGUGUUUGCAGAUGACACAAAACUCUGUAAAGUAAUGUCAGUAGGACAUUGCUUUGUUGCAGUGGAAUUUAGAUACAUGGGGGAAAUGGCACUGAAAUGGCAAAUGAAAAUAUGUUACCGGGGAACACUGUAGAAGCCACACACAGAGAGAUCUAUUCAGGAAGUAAAAGGUCUUUAUUGUUACCGAUCGGGUCUCAGCUGAACUCCUGUUCCAAAAUGUCUGAGCCCUGAACACAUGGGGAAGAAGCUUUUUAUUAACUGUGCAUCCCCCACUCAUACCCUUAGACCAACCAACAAACAGGAUAUACAGGAUCACCUUACAUGGGUAGGCAGCAUGGCUCAUUAAGACAAUGGAAUGUGAUUUCAGUUAUUGCACAUGUUCUUGCACAAGCCCCUUUGCGCUUCUGAUACACAAUAAUUCCAGAUGCAUCACUAACCAUAAUUUGCCAACACCACUCAAGUAACCACGAAACAGGACAAACCAUGUGAGCAUUCUAGCUCAAUUUUACAACCUCUCAACACUCGUUGACCUAAUUACCAAUGAUCUCUCUUUGGGCUAGGGGUUCGUAUCUCCAGAUGGCCAUUACAUGUGCUGCUGUCUUCCUUUCUAUAGUACUUUCAAUAAUACUGCGUAUAGAUCAAAUUACUAAUGGGAUCCGGCAGGGCAGGAAGAGGCAUAGGAAAAUAAUUUCAUACCAGCUCCCAAAUCAACUACUUGGAUUAUACCCGUUCCAAAUCUGAGUGGGUACGUGCAUCAGUUUAACCAUGUGGCUGGUGAGAUCAACCACAGCCUGCCCUUCAUCAUCUAUAUGCAGACAGCAAUUACUGAGAUUAAACUUUCCGCACACACCUCCUUCUACUGCUAGUAAAUAAUCAAGAGCCAGUCUAUUUUGAUAAAUGGCUGACCUCAUAUUCUGUUUUGCCAAGGGUUGGGUGCUUCAGCAGUCUCAUUGGUUAUAAUCUCAACCACCGCCUGUAAUCUUAUGAUGCGGUUGAGCAUAUGUAUGGGGGUUCGAUAACCAUAAGUGCCAUCUUCAGCCCAGGUAGCAGGUCCAUAAUAAUUAAUAAUUCGCUGAGGUGGCCAUUCAUCAUCUUCCCAAUUACCUACGUUUAAUGAUGCUCGUUUCUUUCUAUGAUUUACAUAAACCUUAACUCCCAAGGUCUCUCCCGUUUUGAUUGGUAACAAGAAGAAGGAUGAUUUGAGCAUACCUAGCACACAUGCCCCCUCCCAAUCUUGUGGUAAUGCUGAGUAUGCUUUCUUACCACAAAUCCAGUAUAGAUUCUCUGGGGCUCUCCAGUUAGAUGUAGCCGAUAGAUCAAACCAUACCUCUCUUAAAUUGGUGUAAUUAGCAAAAGGAUUAGUAGGCUCUGAGACAUUUGAAGCCGACCACCAAGUAGUAUUCUGGGUACUAGCAUUAUAGGCCUUCUGUCCUAAACAAGUCAACUCGCCAACAGGUGUAUUAUACAUUGGGCCUCCACUAGCUAAACAUACAUGACCUAUUAGAGAUGUUUUUAAUUGCCAUUCCGAUUUUUCCCGUGUACUUACUUGAUGGCUAGAUUGGGAAGGCAUCUGUUGCUCAUUUGUCUCAGAACCUGGGUACCAUACUUCUCUUGCCUCCCAUGGCCAUUGAUCUCCCAUGUUUGUACUUCCACAUACAAAGCAGUUAGUUAUAUUAAGACUACUUGCAAUACUCUAAGCCAAAUCAAUAAAUAGGUUUUUAACGUUGUGGGGAACUUUAUCCUCAAUACACAUUUCCUCAUAAAAGGAAUGGAAUACCUGAUGAGUUUGAGCAUUCAUGGUCUCGGUUUCAAGGCCUACAUAUAUUAUGGCUCCUGGAUCUGUUCCUGUACCGUAUAUUUGGAACCAAAAAAGAUUCUCAAACGUAUAAAUGAACUGCUACGGAUUGUAAAUUGUCAUGUGUACUGGAUAACACUCCAUCGUUUUACAAUAAGAUGUAGUAGGCAACCUUUGGAUCAUAUCUUGGUCUACUGUCUUUCCCCAGGUCGCCCAACCUACACAUGACCAAUAUGGGCAGAAGUUGAAGUCCGUAUUUGGACAAUCAGCAUCCGUAGAUCUUUUACUAGGGCAUAAAUAUUUGUCAUUGAACACAUAAGUUCGUUCCCAUUUAAGGUUACCACACACAUUCCAAGGUUUUCUACUACCGGAAAUCGCCUUGCAUGCAUCAAAUAGUAGGAUGCCAGUGGAAUGAAUGGUACUUAGCAAAGUUCUAUUUAUCAAUGUCCCCUGAGAGUGAGCAUUUUGAAUAACCAACAAGAUUGUACGGGGUGGGAAUUGGGGGGUUAAAACACUUAGGUUCACCUGAUAUUGGUUGGCACACACUAUAAUCAGUGUCUAAGUACUGUGAUAAAGUGAAGGCAGAGAGGCCUAUAACAUUUAACCCUAGGGGGAGUAUGUGUAGUAUAUGUUGUAGGCAACACAAACCAAAGCUUAGUUAUGGGCCCCUGGGGUGGAGCAUUUGAAGAGCAGGGUGGGCCAAUGCUCCACUGCGCAGUUUGCAUACAACUGGGAGAAAUAAGAUCCAAGCCAGAGUUUUAAUCUGUCUCCAACCCACUACUCAGCUGCAGAUAAUCAGCUGCAGCAGUGGGAAUAAACCCCUCCCUGCUAGGCAGAUAAAGAGGGAUUGCUGGCUUCCUCCCUGGAAGCAGUUAGGAGAGACACUGUUCUCUCCUGUGAGAGAGUCAAGGAGACUGGGCACUGGGAGUGCAGAAAGGAAAGCAGUUAAGGCUGUCUUGGAGCACUGGGAGUGCAGAAGGCUGGCUUGGAGCACUGGGAGUACAGAAAGAAAAGCAAUUAAGACGGGCUUGGAGCACUGGGAGUGCAGAAAGGAAAGCAGCAUGCUAGCUGAGAGCACUGGAGUGCAGAAAGGAGAGCAGAGUGUUGCUAUCUAAUAAGGUUGGUGCAACCCAACAAUAUGUUUUUGUUAGUUUAGUCCUGAUAGAGAGGGAUAUUAAAGGGGAUAUUAAAAGUGAGUCAGUGCUCAGACGAGCUAGGUUUUUGUUUAAAGGGGAAACCUGUUAUAUUUAUGUUUUAGUUGUGUUGCUGUGUGGGCUUGCCAAUAAAAUUGCCUGGAUAAUAUGAAAAGACUGUGCUUGUUGUUUACCCUAGAGGACCGUGCUAUCUGCAAACAAGGAUCACAGUACCUACACCAAGACACAGAUCCUUUACAUUCGUACUGCGAGUGCCAAAUAAGGGUUUGAGAUAUCUGACUACCGGUUUAAGUAAAAUAAGAAAUCACCUUAAGAAUAAAGUGUGUGAACUCCAGGAGCUGGCUAGUGACUAAUGGCUAAAAAUGUGGUAAAACCUAAUAGG
Molecule: long non-coding RNA, 3339 nt
Filed under: Pelobates cultripes (western spadefoot toad)
Lineage: Eukaryota; Metazoa; Chordata; Amphibia; Anura; Pelobatidae
Source: RNAcentral